This is a long non-coding RNA of Monodelphis domestica (gray short-tailed opossum), 468 nucleotides long. RefSeq lists it as uncharacterized. NCBI's taxonomy places the organism in Eukaryota, Metazoa, Chordata, Mammalia, Didelphimorphia, Didelphidae. The record is from RefSeq and is a predicted model, not a curated record.
CAAAACUCUCCACAUUCUAUCUGGGCAGCUGGGUGGCACAAUGGAUAGAGUGUCACACCUCAAGUCAGAAUGACCCAAGUUUAAAUCUGACCCCAGACAUUUUCUAGCUCUUGGACUCUGGGAUAUUAGUAAGGAUGCAAUAAUCAUCACUUCCAAUGGGCUCUGAGGAAGAGACAUCAGUGGCUUCAGAGAACCAUGUAAACUUAGCAUGGGCAUCUGUGAUUGCCCAUUCUACAGAGACUGACCUGGUAACGAAAAAUGACUCUGAUUGCAUCCAGAUAAAAAUAACUUCUGAAGACAGUCACAGGAUGUUAGAUGUGACCUUCACCUAAUGUUGGUUUGCUCCCACACUUGCUUCUUUAUACGGUUUUGACCACAUCCUAAAGCAAAACAUUGCACGUUAAUAGCUCAGAACUCAAUUGUGGGUUUGGAAUUAUAGCAAUACUCACAAUAAAAAGUUCACACUGA